GGUCCUCCAAAAGGAAAGACCCAAGAUACUGCAGCCAAAAAGUCUCAUGACUCAGAUAAAUUCCUGAGACAAACACAGAAGGAAGCACCCGGGGGACAAGUGAUGGACCAAAAGGCUGUUCAGGAGGAGGAACACUCAGGGAGAAGCAGUGGCUCAUUGGCAGCUCCUGCUGCGGGAAGGAAGGCGAUGCCAGACACGGGCACAGGCACAGCAGAUGCAGCCGGCACCACAAGACCUGUUCCCGAUGCCCAGGAUGGCCUCGGAAGGGGUUUCUGUCAGGGAACAGUCUGCUGGCUAGGGUUACUGG
Passer domesticus (house sparrow) is the source of this 307-nucleotide long non-coding RNA. RefSeq lists it as uncharacterized. The transcript is spliced from 3 exons. The record is from RefSeq and is a predicted model, not a curated record. Lineage: Eukaryota; Metazoa; Chordata; Aves; Passeriformes; Passeridae.